GAUGAACGCUGGCGGCGUGCUUAACACAUGCAAGUCGAACGGAAAGGCCCAAGCUUGCUUGGGUACUCGAGUGGCGAACGGGUGAGUAACACGUGGGUGAUCUGCCCUGCACUUCGGGAUAAGCCUGGGAAACUGGGUCUAAUACCGGAUAGGACCACAUUCUGGAUGGUGUGGUGGAAAGUUUUUCGGUGUGGGAUGAGCUCGCGGCCUAUCAGCUUGUUGGUGGGGUAAUGGGCUACCAAGGCGUCGGCGGGUAGCCGGCCUGGGAGGGUGUACGGCCACAUUGGGACUGAGGUACGGGCCAGACUCCUACGGGGGGCAGCAGUGGGGAAUAUUGCACAAUGGGCGCAAGCCUGAUGCAGCGACGCCGCGUGGGGGAUGACGGCCUUCGGGUUGUAAACUCCUUUCGCUAGGGACGAAGCGUUAUGUGACGGUACCUGGAGAAGAAGCACCGGCUAACUACGUG
Molecule: ribosomal RNA, 466 nt
Filed under: uncultured bacterium
Lineage: Bacteria
Description: partial 16S ribosomal RNA
Rfam family: Bacterial small subunit ribosomal RNA
Source: RNAcentral